GAAAAGGAUAAUGUAAAACAGUGUUUCUACUGUCUUCAAUACAUGUUUUCUUAUUUCUUUGUUACACUCAGAGGCUGUAAUUUGUCACCUGGAUUUUUUGGCUCUUAUGAAGAUAUUUUUGUGCAUGGAUAAGUUGUUCAAAUCAAUCUUUCUGCAAAGGACCAGCACUGGAAAAUCCUAUUCUACAAUCUUGCUGACACCAUCCUUCAAAGUCUUCAGUUAUUUAGAAUCUUUCCAUUCCUCCUGGAAGAAAAUGGAUAAACUUUCCCUUUAACCUCUGAAGUUUCACUGAAAAGUUAACUUACAAAGAAAAAUACAGAAAGACACAAGAAGCACACCAGAUUGGCUACAGCUUAAGACCAACCUCACAAAUCCAACCUCACAAAUUAAAACUUUACAGAGAAUAUAAACAAUGAUGCUUAUUAUCCAUUUUACCAGUUUGAACAGGGAAAGAGAAGCCAAAACUCAACUGGUAAACUUUUACCCUUUUGCCGGCAUGUCAGGCAUCUGGGUUCCCUUCCCCCAGCUCAACUCUAAGCCAAGCAUUUUAAGGUUUGGGAAAAUUAACUUUUCAGAGUUUUGAGGAAUAUUACAAAAAAAGAGAUAGGAGCAAUUUUAAACUGUAAAAGAAGAAAAAACACCACAGAAAAGUCUGGAGGUUCCAAUUAGGAUCAUCAAGAGGUACUGCUCCUCUUCUUAUUGGAAUUAGUGUUUCCCCUAUUUCUUCACCUUCCCUAUUUUCCCUUUUCCAUUGUGGCCUAGUAUAGGAGACCUAUUUCUCAUCUCUGAAAUUCUCUGAUGUUUUCAGAGCUGACUGCUUCUCAGCUGUAGUUAGGAUUUGGCUUAGGAGCAGCAUAACAUUCCUCCAUGAGAGGUUAAAUACCUGAGUUAAAUUUUGGAAGGCUUCUAUAUACCUAUCAGGGUCUCAGAAAAUCAGCCAAGUCUCCCUCUACUUGCCUAAGGUCCUGCAAUGUAAGGGAACAUGAAUCCUAGUGGCAUUACCUCCACUGGGCAUUUCUUGUAGGAGUAAAAGUGAAGGUGAGGAGUAGGAAAUUUUGGAUAUGGUGGAGGUGGAAGAACUUGUGGUGUGGUUGGAGAUGGCCCCAGAUAAGGGGGACUAGAAGGGCUAUGACAUCCAAUAGCUGCCUCAGAUGGUUCCCCCAGAAGUUGCUUUUCUAGUCUUGGAGAAUCAUUCUGUUUGGGCCUGCCUUAUAUGAUUGCUAUGAGGGUUGAUUUUGUAACACCUGCAAAGGUCUAGUAAGAAGGCCAUGGCCCUGUGCAAAAGAAAAUGAGCAACUUUUUCUUCAAAGUCUCAGGGUCAGUGGAGUCUCUGUGCUUCAGAAUGCACUCCAGAGGAGUACAGGUGAAAUAUGAUAAACAAAAGUGAGAAAAAGUCAUCCCUUUAGUCUCCUUCCUUUUGGUGUGACCCAGGGUGGAGAGGAAGACAGUGGAGGUGUCCCCUCUGCUGUUUUUCCCUCCAUGGUUCCUGGGUCCCAGCACCUUGUUGAAUGUGCUGCCCAUGGUUGAAGGCAUGAUCCCCAGCAAUGGAACCAGAGGAAUUAAGAGAUUGGGGUUAGUCAUGUUCACCCAUGUGGCUCUAGUCCUCUGCCUGUGACUUCCCUUUGACUUCCUAGACUUGUGUGACCUGCCUGUCUCCCCGAAAAGUGGAUCUCAGGGGAGACUAUGUGCCUGUUGCAUUUGGGCAACUGUUGUACUUCCCUCCUUAAUGGAGAAAGUGUGCUGAUCUGAGCUCUAUAUCCUUCUAUUACGGCCUGUGCAAAAGUGUUUACCCUUAGAGAAUGGUUUCAGUUAACUUCCUAAAUUAAAAUCCCCUUAUUAAUUAAGUACCAUUCUAAUUGGAAGCAGAAUAGGUGCCUUAAAAGAAUGUAGGGACUGAAUGGCCAUUUUCCUACUGAUGGGACCAUACUGAGACUAAAUUUUGGCUUUGGAGGAUAUUUUACUCCUAAUUGUUGAAGGCAGAAUUUUCCCAUUUACAGAAGCAGCAUAAAGCCUUAUCUCUAGUAGAGGGGCCCAAAAAGGGAGAACUGGGAAGUUAGGGUGUUUCACUAAAAGACCAACAAUGUGUCUCAUGGAAAGGAUCCCUAUUCCACUAGGUGUCGCUGUUGACCUUGAUAUGCCAUGUGCUCUCCAGACCAAGGUCAGAGAGUGACCUGAAAGUGCCAUGUGCUCUCCAGACCAAGGGCAGAGAGUGAUGCUCACUGUGUGGGGGACCCUCUGUUCCUAGAAAAUAAAAAAGACAUCUUCCCUUGAGCUAUAUCCCUGGUUACUACAAAAUUCCCUGAUUUUCCCAAACAAGAUUACUUCCCUGAACUGUAAAACUUCCCAAACAUUGCACACACAGAGAGGAUAAGAGGUAUGACUCUCACGGACAGAAAAGGAGGAAAUUGCAAUAGAAAAUCCAGAAGACUUUGGAUAACACCAGGGGGUAGCCCCAGCCAGAAAUCCUGUUGCCCCAGGACUUCUUUCAUCCCCACAUGAUGGUUAAGUCCUCUGUGAAAGGAAGCUGGUUCAAACACGGCCAACAUGCCCAGCAACCAGUGGGUGCUGGGGGACUCUCCAUGUUCUCUCCAGUAAGCCUGUCCCCCAAGUCUUGUAAGGCUGACAGCCACUCUAAUAAAUGGCUGAAGGGGGCACAGUAUUUGGUUUGAUUUGGUACUAAAAUGGAGACUGAGAUCCUUAAAAUGAAAGGAUCUAGUUGGAGUCUGCUCCUCUAUUCACUAUUUUGAUAUGUAUUAUACCUUGUUAUCUCGGACGAGCCCCAUUAUGAAGCAGCUACAUUGUCUGGGAUUUGUUGUCAUGCAAGAGGAAAAUUUAGGACAUGGACACACAUGGGAGUUUAGGAGCAGAGGUUUCAUAGACAGAAUAGAAGAGAAAGACAAACAGCUCUCUCUAUAGAGACAGGGGUCUCUGAGAGGAAAGGACUGGUUGGUGGCGAAUGUGCCAGAUUUUAUAGUCAAGUUUGAGAAGGCAGUGUCUGAUUUAGUGUCUGAGGCUUACAGAUUGGUUCAAACAGGUAUGACGUUUAUAUAGUGCAUGGGGAAGGCUGGUAGCCCCACCCUAAUUUUAUGCAAAUGGGCUUUCAAGUUGAUCUGUGCCAUCUUGUCUGCAUCUUACUGGACAUUUUGGCUGGCAGAGAAGGGAAGAUG
This 3167-nucleotide long non-coding RNA is filed under the name Homo sapiens (human). RNAcentral's name for it is "HSALNT0135269". Lineage: Eukaryota; Metazoa; Chordata; Mammalia; Primates; Hominidae. The record is from RNAcentral.